AGAAGAAAUGCCUCAAAACAUUUCUCAACAGACUGAUGUGUCAUCAUGUGGCGUGUUUGUUUGCAAGUAUGCAAAAUGCUGUGUUUUGGGUCAAAGUCUUAAC
Long non-coding RNA from Amphimedon queenslandica, 103 nucleotides. RefSeq lists it as uncharacterized. The record is from RefSeq and is a predicted model, not a curated record. Lineage: Eukaryota; Metazoa; Porifera; Demospongiae; Haplosclerida; Niphatidae. The transcript has 3 exons.